UGCGGGGUAGUGCAGAGGUUACCACGGCGGGUUAGUGUCCCGCAGGCGCAAGUUCGAUUCUUGCCCCCGCUA
Transfer RNA from Alistipes sp. CHKCI003, 72 nucleotides. It matches the Rfam family "tRNA". Rfam says of the family: Transfer RNA (tRNA) molecules are approximately 80 nucleotides in length. The record is from Rfam. Lineage: Bacteria; Pseudomonadati; Bacteroidota; Bacteroidia; Bacteroidales; Rikenellaceae.